Molecule: non-coding RNA, 30 nt
Filed under: Rattus norvegicus (Norway rat)
Lineage: Eukaryota; Metazoa; Chordata; Mammalia; Rodentia; Muridae
Source: RNAcentral
UGCCAGUGCUUGACACUCAUGUUGCAGAGG